UACGAAGGGGGCUAGCGUUGUUCGGAAUCACUGGGCGUAAAGCGCACGUAGGCGGAUUGUUAAGUCGGGGGUGAAAUCCUGAGGCUCAACCUCAGGACUGCCUUCGAUACUGGCAAUCUCGAGUCCGGAAGAGGUUGGUGGAACAGCUAGUGUAGAGGUGAAAUUCGUAGAUAUUAGCUAGAACACCAGUGGCGAAGGCGGCCAACUGGUCCGGUACUGACGCUGAGGUGCGAAAGCGUGGGGAGCAAACAGG
Molecule: ribosomal RNA, 253 nt
Filed under: uncultured bacterium
Lineage: Bacteria
Description: partial 16S ribosomal RNA
Rfam family: Bacterial small subunit ribosomal RNA
Source: RNAcentral